UAGAAAAUAUUUGUUAGGAAAGGGAUGGAAAAGGGUAAAAACAAACUACCUGGGCUGCAGUAGAUUGUUGCUUGAUGCAAACAUUAUUUCAUAGUAAUUUUAGAGCUGGAGAGUAUAGAUACGGCUUUAUAGGAGUAGCCUAGAGAGUGAAAAGGUAACCAAAAUAUAUAAAUGGGAAAAAUCAUAAAAGCUUCGCCCGUGGAACAUGUUGCACCGUAUGCCAUGGUUAACUGUAGACGACUUGUACUUCCUGUCAAGAUUUCUUGUCC
This 269-nucleotide small RNA is filed under the name Histoplasma capsulatum. RNAcentral describes it as "hypothetical RNA". Lineage: Eukaryota; Fungi; Ascomycota; Eurotiomycetes; Onygenales; Ajellomycetaceae. The record is from RNAcentral. RNAcentral also lists the same sequence under 1 other name.